GAUGAACGCUAGCGACAGGCUUAACACAUGCAAGUCGAGGGGCAUCGGGGCGUAGCAAUACGCUGCCGGCGACCGGCGGAUGGGUGAGUAACGCGUAUGCAACCUACCUUCAGCAGGGGGAUAGCCCGUUGAAAGACGGAUUAAUACCCCAUAACACAGGGGCUCCGCAUGGAGAUUAUUGUUAAAGGGAUGCUUCCUUCGGGGAGUAUUCCGGCUGCAGAUGGGCAUGCGUUCCAUUAGGUAGUUGGUUGAGGUAACGGCUCACCAAGCCUACGAUGGAUAGGGGAACUGAGAGGUUGGUCCCCCACACUGGUACUGAGACACGGACCAGACUCCUACGGGAGGCAGCAGUGAGGAAUCUUGGUCAAUGGACGGAAGUCUGAACCAGCCAUGUCGCGUGAAGGAGGACGGCCCUAAGGGUUGUAAAACUUCUUUCGUGACGGGAAGGGGUAAAUAAAGUUACUUACCAACGGAGUAGUAGGGAAUUAGUUCGACAACGGUACGCGUCGACGAAAGUAAGGAGUCGGACUAACCGUCCGGUCG
This 543-nucleotide ribosomal RNA is filed under the name uncultured bacterium. Its description in RNAcentral is "bacterial SSU rRNA". It matches the Rfam family "Bacterial small subunit ribosomal RNA", at positions 28 to 511 of the family's 1533-position model. The record is from RNAcentral.